This 1471-nucleotide ribosomal RNA is filed under the name uncultured marine eukaryote. RNAcentral's name for it is "bacterial SSU rRNA". It matches the Rfam family "Bacterial small subunit ribosomal RNA". The record is from RNAcentral.
CGAGUUUGAUCCUGGCUCAGGAUGAACGCUGGCGAGAUGCUUUACACAUGCAAGUCGUACGAGAGUCUUACUCUCGUUUACGUUUGGAUGACUAAACAGGCGGAAAGUUGACUAACAGAGGGGAACUUGCCUUUAGGACGGGGAUAACAAAUGUGUAUGUUUGCUAAUACCCUGUAUUUUUUCCAGUGAAAUGGAUUUUUCCGCCUAAAGAGAAGCUUGCGGCUGAUUAGCUUGUUGGUAAGGUAAUGGCUUUCCAAGGCGACGAUCAGUAUCUGGUUUGAGAGGACGAUCAGACACACUGGAACUGAGACACGGUCCAGACUCUUACGGGAGGCAGCAUGGGAGAAUUUUCCGCAAUGGGCGAAAGCCUGACGGAGCAAUCUCGCGUGAGGGAUGACUGCCUACGGGUUGUAAACCUCUUUUUUCAGGGAGGAAUAAAUGACGUGUACCUGAAGAAUAAGCAUCGGCUAACUCCGUGCCAGCAGCCGCGGUAAUACGGAGGAUGCAAGUGUUAUCCGGAAUCACUGGGCGUAAAGCGUCUAUAGGUUGUUUAAUAAGUCAGCUGUUAAAUCUUGAGGCUCAACUUCAAAAUCGCAGUCGAAACUAUUAGACUAGAGUAUAGUAGGGGUAAAGGGAAUUUCCAGUGGAGCGGUGAAAUGCGUAGAGAUUGGAAAGAACACCGAUGGCGAAGGCACUUUACUGGGCCAUUACUGACACUCAGAGACGAAAGCUAGGGUAGCAAAUGGGAUUAGAUACCCCAGUAGUCCUAGCUGUAAACAAUGGAUACUAGAUGUUGAAUAUCAUCGAUCUGUGCAGUAUCAAAGCUAACUGCGUUAAGUAUCCCGCCUGGGAAGUAUCUCGCAAGAGUGAUACUCAAAGGAGUGGACGGGGGCCCGCACAAGCGGUGGAGCAUGUGGUUUAAUUGGACACAACGUGAAGAACGAUACCAGGGUUUGACAUGAUACGAAUUUUUUCGAAACAAGAAAGUGCCUGAAAAGAGAAAAUACACAGGUGGUGCAUGGCUGUGGUCAGGCAUGUGUCUGAGAUGCUGGGUUAAGUCGAGCAACGAGCGCAACCCUCAUUUUUAGUUGCCCUCAUAAGGAACUCUAGAAAGACUGCUGGUUAAAACCGGAGGAAGGCGGGGAUGACGUCAAGUCAGCAUGCCCCUUACACAUUGGGCUACACACGUGCUACAAUGGGUGAGACAAUGAGAAGGACAUCUGUGAGGGCAAGCUAACAGAUAAAGUCAAUCUAAGUUCGGAAUGUAGGUUGCAAUUGGCGUGCACGAAUUGGGAAUCGGUAGUAAUAAUUGGUCAGAUUCACAGCUCAGAAUUGAUUCCCGGACCUUGUUCACGCCCCCCGUCACCCCAUGGAAGCUGGCCAUACCAGAAGUCAUCACUUGAACCUAUAUUCUGGAGGAGGGUGCCUAAGGUAGAAUUAGUAACUAGGGUGAAGUCGUAACAAGGUAACC